This 1898-nucleotide ribosomal RNA is filed under the name Salinispora pacifica CNT855. RNAcentral's name for it is "bacterial LSU rRNA". It matches the Rfam family "Bacterial large subunit ribosomal RNA", at positions 390 to 2155 of the family's 2925-position model. Lineage: Bacteria; Bacillati; Actinomycetota; Actinomycetes; Micromonosporales; Micromonosporaceae. The record is from RNAcentral.
AGUCUCCUGUGGGUGUUCCCGAGUAGCGGCGGACUCCUGUAAUCUGCCGUGAAUCUGCCAGGACCAUCUGGUAAGCCUAAAUACUUCCUGGUGACCGAUAGCGGAUAGUACCGUGAGGGAAUGGUGAAAAGUACCCCGGGAGGGGAGUGAAAUAGUACCUGAAACCGUUCGCCUACAAUCCGUCGGAGCCUUUAGGGGUGACGGCGUGCCUUUUGAAGAAUGAGCCUGCGAGUUAGUGGCAUGUGGCGAGGUUAACCCGGGUGGGGGAGCCGUAGCGAAAGCGAGUCUGAAUAGGGCGUUAGAGUCGCGUGUCCUAGACCCGAAGCGGAGUGAUCUAGCCAUGGGCAGGCUGAAGCGUGGGUAAGACUGCGUGGAGGGCCGAACCCACCAACGUUGAAAAGUUGGGGGAUGACCUGUGGUUAGGGGUGAAAGGCCAAUCAAACUCCGUGAUAGCUGGUUCUCCCCGAAAUGCAUUUAGGUGCAGCGUCGUGUGUUUCUUGCCGGAGGUAGAGCACUGGAUGGUCUAGGGGGCCUACAAGCUUACCGAAAUCAGCCAAACUCCGAAUGCCGGUAAGUGAGAGCGCGGCAGUGAGACUGCGGGGGAUAAGCUUCGUAGUCGAGAGGGAAACAGCCCAGAUCACCAGCUAAGGCCCCUAAGCGUGUGCUAAGUGGAAAAGGAUGUGGGGUCGCAUAGACAACCAGGAGGUUGGCUUAGAAGCAGCCAUCCUUGAAAGAGUGCGUAAUAGCUCACUGGUCAAGUGGUUCCGCGCCGACAAUGUAGCGGGGCUCAAGCACACCGCCGAAGCUGUGGCAUUCACGCGUGUACUUCGCAUGGCCUUUGGGUUGUGUGUAGGUGUGUGGAUGGGUAGGGGAGCGUCGUGCCGGGGGUGAAGCAGCCGAGUGAUCGAGUUGUGGACGCGGUGCGAGUGAGAAUGCAGGCAUGAGUAGCGAAUGAAGGGUGAGAAACCCUUCCGCCGGAUGACCAAGGGUUCCAGGGCCAGGUUAAUCCGCCCUGGGUGAGUCGGGGCCUAAGGCGAGGCCGAGAGGCGUAGUCGAUGGAUAACGGGUUGAUAUUCCCGUACCCGCGAAGGAGCGUCCCUGAUGAACUUCGUUGUGCUAACCAUCCGAUCUUGGUGUGGUCUUUGGACUGUGCUGGGGGAGCGUGGGAACCUGGCGGGUAGUAGUCAAGCGAUGGGGUGACGCAGGAAGGUAGCUGAGCCCGGCCGGUGGUUGUGCCGGGGUAAGCGUGUAGGCUGUGUCGUAGGUAAAUCCGCGGCGCGUGUGGCUGAGACGUGAUGCCGAGCCGAUUCAGGUGAAGUCAGUGAUCCUAUGCUGUCGAGAAAAGCCUCUAGCGAGUUCCGAGCGGCCCGUACCCUAAACCGACACAGGUGGUCAGGUAGAGAAUACCAAGGCGAUCGGGUGAACUGUGGUUAAGGAACUCGGCAAAUUGCCCCCGUAACUUUGGGAGAAGGGGGGCCGGAGACGUGAAGGCACGUGCUGCUGGAGCGUUGUAUGGCCGCAGAGAGCAGGGGGAAGCGACUGUUUACUAAAAACACAGGUCCAUGCGAAGAAGUAAUUCGAUGUAUAUGGACUGACGCCUGCCCGGUGCUGGAACGUUAAGGGGACCUGUUAGUCUUUCGGGGCGAAGCGGAGAACUUAAGCGCCAGUAAACGGCGGUGGUAACUAUAACCAUCCUAAGGUAGCGAAAUUCCUUGUCGGGUAAGUUCCGACCUGCACGAAUGGCGUAACGACUUCCCCACUGUCUCAACCACAGGCCCGGCGAAAUUGCAUUACGAGUAAAGAUGCUCGUUACGCGCGGCAGGACGGAAAGACCCCGGGACCUUUACUAUAGCUUGACAUUGGUAUCUGAAUUAGCUUGUGUAGGAUAGGUGGGAGCC